AAUUUCCAAGUUGAUACUUUAAAUUAAAAAUUCCCUGAGAUUUUCAUAUAUGAUUUUUCUUCGAAAAGACGACAAAUUUCAUAAGAAGAAAGAUAUUUCCUGAAUUUUUUCCUCACAAAUUUCAAUCUUUCCCCGAAAGUCUCAUGCUUUUUAAGAAGAAAUCAACAAGUAGAUAGAUACAAACGAGAUUAUAAAAAAAGUUGCUAGUGUUUCUGUAUUUUCCUUCGCUAUCCCACACUUUCAUCACUACCAAACAGACUCCACUACCUUCAUGCAAUCAAUGUAGAAACAGAAAGUCAGACUAAACACGGCAUUGAAUGAAGGGAGGGGUGAGCAGAAAUGGGUUGUUCUUGAUUUUGCACAAGGGUGAUGGAGGAUGAGAGAUGCAGGAGGAGAGGUAGUCCCAACUGGAGGUGCAGUGAAAGGGCUUUGCCUGGAAAAACACUUUGUGAGAAGCACUUGUUCUGCCAGCUGAUUCGGAAUCGGGUGAAGACGGCGAGGCUUGCGGAGGGGAGAGACGGGGAGGUGGGUCGCCCAAGUGGGAAGCAGAAGCUGGCGGCAGCUGGGGAGGAGAUGGUUGGUGGUGGCGGUAAAGAGGAUCGGGGGUUUUCGGGUGAAAUCCUGGCCGCCGGCGAGGGAGGAGGCGGUGAGGUGGUGGGUGGGGGGGAGAUGCCUGAGGGGUUUGGAGGAGGAAUGUGGGGGUGGUUUGGGGGAGAUGAGGGUGGAAAUGACGGUAAUGCCCUUGGCAGCGGUGGAGUUAUGGGCGGCUCUGCUGGAGACGGCAAUGGUAGGGAAGUGGAUGGUGGAGGGGUCGGUGAGCGCGGCGUCGCGAGUGGAAAUUGGGCUACUGGCCGUGGGAAUGGCGGUGGAGUAGUUGAGAGCGGCGGAGACGGUGAUUGGGUCUCUAGUGGUGGAAUUGGGGGCUGCUCCAGGGAAGAAGCCGGUGGAAAUGGCAGCGGCGAUGUUCGGUUAAUUGAAAGCCUUGCGGGCCAUUCCGGUGGAAAUGAAGGCGGCGGCGAGGAAGUCGUUAAGGGAGGCGAGGACUCUGGUCGGGCUGCCGGCGGUGGAGGACUUGUGGGCUACCCCAAGGAAGUCACUGGUGGAAUUGGCGGCAAUUCCGGUGGAAGUGGCGGUGGAAUUGGAGGAAUUGAGAGUAGGUCCGACGGUAAUGGCCACGGGGAUGAUGUUGGGGAGAAGAAGAAAAGGCGAGGCCGGCCAAGAGGUUCAAAAACCAGAAGGAAAGGUGAAGAAGUUCCGGGUCAGUCUAGGGAGAGCACUGGCGGGAAUGGUGGUGGAAAUGAUGGGAAUGGGUGCAAUGCCAGUGGAAAUAUCGGUGGAGAUGAGAUUGUUGUGUUGAAAAAGCGAAAGCUAGGCCGGCCCAAGGGUUCAAAAACUAGGAGGAACGUUAUCGAUGGUGAGAUAGUUGAGCUCCCAAUCGGUAAUUGGGGUGGAAGUGAAGUAAUUGGUGGCCUAUCCAGUGGGAAUGGCAGGGGUGAAAUUGAAGGAACUGGAGACCUAUCUGGUGGGAGUGGCAGGGGUAGUGGUGAAGGGAUCGGAGGCCUGCCUGGUGGGGAUGGCAGUGGAGGAGAGAUUAUGGUGAAGAGGCGAAAGCUAGGCCGACCUAAAGGUUCAAAUACUAGGAGGAGGAUUCCUGAUGGUAGAGAACUCCAGGUAUGGGCAGGUGAAACAGUUGAAAAUGAUGGUCUGGCUCUUGAUUUGGAAGGAAACCGAUGGAAGUCUGGUGCAUUCCAUGGUGGAAACAAUGGGGAAGGAUGGAAGGUUAAGCAUGGGCGUGGCCGACCAAAAGGGUGGAAGAAGAAGGGUAGGAAGAGGAAGGUUUUUUAUGGUGGAGAACUUCGGGCUUUGGAAGGUGUGAAGAAGAGGGGAAGGAAGAGGAAGAUUGUUGAUGGUGAAGAGCUUUGGGAUUUGAAAGGGUUGGAAAAGAGGGGGAGGAAAGGGGGCAUUUUUUAUGGGAAAGAACUCCAGGGCAGUUCCUGUGAGGCCAGAAUGGUGGAUUUACUUGCCACAUUGCAAAGUUUUGCUCCUUAUAGUGGAGCCGUUUUGGCUGAAUACAUUAAGAAACAAUAUGCAGCAAUUACUAGUGUUCCCUCUAAGCAGAAAGUUUGGCGGCAGCCUGAUUUGGCCAAAAUGGUGGGCCUCCUUGCUACUUUAAGGGAUGUUGUGCCUUAUAGGGGAGAAGUCCUGGCCGAAAAUUUUCUGUACUUCAAAUGGCGUAGUUCAAUUUCUGCAUUAGAGUACCUGGCUCCUUGUAGAGGAGGUGUUCUGGCUGAAUAUUUCAUGUAUCGUGAACGAUCCAGUUCAAUUCCUUAUGAUGACAUCUACAAAUGCGAAUUUGAUGAGGCCCCACUUGUGACUGAAGAGAUUCAGGAUCAGUCUGUUCAAGGUAUUAGAGUAAAUGAAGGUCCCAGUCACAGUGAAGGCAUUGGAGUAGGUGAAGGUCCAAGUUCCACUGAAGGAAUUCAGGGGCAGUAUGGUGGAGCUGCUGGCGGAAAUGAUGGUGGGAAGCUUGGUGCUAAAGAAUUUUUGGGAGGGUUUGGUGCAUUUGCAAGGCAAAAGGAUGGUGGAUAUGGAUUUAGUAGGCUAAAGAACAAAUGCCGCAGACUAAAAGGUUCAAAUAAUGGUGAAGAGAUUGGGGGCUGGUCUGGUGAAGCCAGUAGGGAAAAUGGUCCUCAGAAAGAAAUUCAGGGCUGGUCAAGUGAAGCUUGCUGUCGAAAUGAUGGAGACGAGAUGGUCAGUCUGAGAGGUAGGUGUGACAGGCCAAACAGUUCGGAGGAUUGGAUGAACGAGCUUAACAGGAGUGGUGGAGCAACCUGCACUAUUGAUAGGAGAAGCGAGAUCAUUUCUUCAGAGGGUAAGUGUGGCUGGCCGCAGGUUAUAGAGAACAAAAGGACCAUUCUUGCUGCUGAACAAGAUGGGAUCAUUCCUUUUGAAGUCACUGGCUGGAAUGAUAUGGGGGAUGAGACUGAAGGUUUGGAGAAUAAGAAGAGUGGUCUCAUAGCUAUAGAAGAUCGUGGUUUGCCUGGUGAAGUUAUUGGUCGUGAUGAGAAGCCAAAUGAGAUUUUUCGGCAGAAGGCUAAGCGUGGCCGGCCAAAGGGUUCAAAGAACAGGAUUCCAUGUAUCCCUAAAGAAGAACAAAGCCAGGCCACUGCCAGUAAUUUUUUGGGUGGAAAUAACAGCGGAGAUGUGAAUAUUUCUUGGAAACGUAAGCCUGGCCGGCCAAAGGGUUCAAAGAACAAGAAGGUAAUCCUUAAUGGUGAAGCCCUGAACAAGAUUCCAAUGCUGAAUCAGGAACAUCAGAUGCCUGUUUCAAAGAUAGAAGAAGAUCUUAACAAAGAAGGCAGUUUACAGGUUGAGUAUGUGAGGGACUGUGGCAAUGCACAGAUGAGUAAUGGUGAGUUAUUAACUGAUACCGGCAAUGUUCAUAAGAGGCCCAGAGGAAGGCCGAAGAAGUUGAAGGACCAUCGGGGGGAAUCUAACUGCAUUAAAGAGGGAAAAUUCAAUGAGAAUGGAUUGGCGAAUUCAGGAUUAUCAGAUGCUAGCAAUGGGAAAAGAGAGCAGAGGAGUUUAAUGUGUCAUCAAUGCUUGAGGCAUGCCAAGAGUGGUGUUGUCGUUUGUUCCAGUUGCAAAAAGAAACGCUAUUGCUAUGAGUGCCUUGCGAAAUGGUACCCGGAGAAAACAAGAGAGGACAUAAGGAAUGCAUGUCCAUUCUGCCGUUGCAUUUGCAAUUGCAGAAUGUGUCUCAAACAGGAUUUAGUCGUAAUGACUGGUCAUGGAGAAGCAGAUACAAAUAUCAAAUUGCAAAAGUUGCUUUACUUGCUAGACAGAACUCUGCCUCUCCUCAGACAUAUUCACGGGGAGCAGAGCUCUGAGAUACAUGUGGAAGCCCAAAUACGAGGUGCUCAAUUGACAGAAGAGGAUAUAAUGAGGUCAAUACUUGACAAAGAUGACCGAGUGUAUUGUGACAAUUGCAAUACAUCCAUUGUCAAUUUACACAGAAGCUGCCCCAAUCCUGAUUGUUCUUAUGAUCUGUGUCUCACUUGUUGCCGGGAACUAAGAAAAGGUUUGCAGCCUGGUGGCAAUGAAGCAGAAUCUUCUCAUCAACAAUUUGUUGAACGAGUGAAUGGUCAAGGUACAGAAGUGAAGGGCAGAAUUCCUGCACAUGAUGAGAGGUAUGGUUGGGAGAGUGACGGGGCCCACCCCACAAAUAAUUAUGCAGCUGAUACCUGUGACUUUCCUGAUUGGAGAGUGAAUAUGGAUGGCAGCAUCCCUUGCCCUCCAAAAGCACGUGGAGGUUGUGGUACUGAGACACUUGAACUAAGACGUAUCUUUGAACCUAAUUGGGUAGACCACCUGAUCAAGAGUGCAGAGGACCUUACAAUGAAUUUUGGAUCACCAGACAUUGAUUUUUCUCAGGGAUGUUCAUUGUGCCUUCCUACUGCUUCCACAGGAAGUGGAGAAAAGCAUUGUGAAGUAAGGCGGGCAGCUUUUAGGGAGAACAGUCAUGACGACUUUCUCUACUGUCCAAAUUCUGCUUGCUUGGGAGACAACGAAAUUGAGCAUUUUCAAAUGCAUUGGAUGAGAGGUGAACCUGUCAUAGUUAGAAAUGUACUUGAGAAGACAUCUGGUCUUAGUUGGGACCCAAUGGUCAUGUGGAGGGCUUUUAGAGGUGCAACAAAAGUACUAAAAGAAGAUGCUUUGAGUGUUAAGGCCAUUGAUUGCUUCGAUUGGUGUGAGGUUCAGAUUAAUAUUUUCCAGUUUUUUAAGGGCUACUUACAAGGUCGAAGACAUAAGAGUGGGUGGCCAGAGAUGUUGAAGCUGAAGGACUGGCCUCCAUCAAAUUCGUUUGAUGAGUGUUUGCCUAGGCAUGGUGCUGAAUUUAUUGCUAUGCUCCCUUAUAGUGAUUACACGAACCCAAAAUCUGGUUUAUUGAAUCUCGCUACAAAGCUUCCUGAUGUUUUGAAGCCAGACCUGGGACCAAAAACAUACAUCGCUUAUGGGUCUUUGGAAGAACUUGGUAGAGGCAAUUCGGUGACAAAGCUGCAUUGCGACAUUUCAGAUGCGGUAAACGUAUUAACACACACAGCCAAAGUGAAUAUUACCCCAUUGCAAAGCAAAAUCAUGAACAAAUUGCAGAAGAAAUAUGAAGCUGAGGAUUUGCUGGAGCUCUAUGGUGGGGCACAUGAUGCAUCGGACACAACUGGGAAAGAAACAACAGAACAAUCUCAGAAAGAUGAAACCAUGGAUUGUGUAUAUUCUGCAAAAGAGAACACUGUUGGGAUUGACUCUUUGUUUCUAGGAAGCCUAAAUGAGAAAGAAGAGAAACACAGUGAGCAAGAAGAUAGGAGGACCUUGCCCUUAUUAGAUUCCAUGGGUUUAGGAACUAUGAGUUCAGAUAGAGAUUACAUUCUGGAGGAUCUUGCCCUUGAAAGUACAGUGAUGGUGAAUUGUGAAAAGCAAUCUGUUGGAGAUUUGAAUACAGAGUUUCAGAUUUGUGACCUUGAAAAGCAUGAAUCCAACUUGUCAUUGCUAGAAAAAGAUUGUGGGAUCACACAUGUAUUGGUUAAGAAACAGGCCGAGUUGAAAAGAUGUUCACUACAGUUUGGUGGCUCUGUUGAAGAUAGCUUGUUACAUGAAAGUAUUAAUCUAGAAAAAACCCCACCAAAUGGUCAUAAAAUUGGGAAUUUUUUGGGUAUGAGUGGUAAAGAAGACAGAUAUUACUCCAUGAACAAUCAACCUGAUACAUGCACCAGCUAUAUUGACGGGAGUUCAUCCAUUGUGCGAAACUGCAUGAAUGGGGAGCUAAACAUACAGGGAAUUGAACAACCGGGAUUCAAAGAAUUUUCCUCUUUCAUAUGCAGGGAUGUUGAUGAGAGGAAUUUCUCUUUAUCUGGUGAGAUAAAUGUAGAUGCCGACUGUCUUGCUACCAAAGACUUGUGUUGUCCUCAUCAGCUUGGUGCUGAAAAUGGAAUAGCUAAAACAGAUUCAUUUAAUCAAGAAUAUUCUCAACCUCCUAAUGUAGCGUUGAAAAACAAUCUUAACAAUGAAGAUGUUCUAGAUGUGAUUUUCUUAGGCACCGAACGAGAUUAUGAACCAGAGUUGAUGAAGUCAGACCUAGAUGAGAAGGGCACAAGGUUCAACUAUGCAGUCAACUGCAGGGAUGUUACUGAGAGAAAUUUCUCCUUGCCAGACCGAAUGGAUUUCAACCCCCACUGUCUUGACACUGAAGAGUUAUGUUGUGCUGAUCGACUUGAUGUUCAGGAUGAAAUAGUCGAGAGAGACUCAGCACACAAGCAAGAAUACAACCAGCCACCUAAUUUGUUAGGUACAAGGAUGCUUAUAAGUGGGAAAGAUGGUUUGCAGGGAAUGUUUUCAGGCAAUUGCUGGGAGAGUGGUCCAAAGCCAGAUACAAGAGUGCUAGAUGUGGGCCCUGACUGCUUUGCCAAAAGCAGGGAUGUUUCUGAAAAGGAUCUAUUCUUACCAGAGGAGAGGGAUAGAGAUCCAAAUUGUCCUGCUGCUGAAGAGUUUUGGUCUGGUAAUGGAUUUGAUGCCAAAAAUGCAAGAACUGAGAGAGGUCUGUGCAAUCAAGAAUAUUUUCAUCUUUCUAAUGAAAAAGCAGAGAUGAGGUUUGUCAGUGAAAAGAGUCCUUUGGAAGCAACCUUUUCAGGAAACGAAGCAAAUCAUUCAGAAUCAAUGAAGCCUGGUUCUUCCAAUGUUAGAGAUUCCGUUCAAAGCAAUGACCAUUCAGAGGUUGCAUAUGGAGGUGCUGUUUGGGACAUUUUUCGUAGGCAGGAUGUACCCAAGUUAAUUGAAUUCUUGCGGAAGCAUCAGAAAGAAUUUCGCCAUAUCAAUAAUCUUCCUGUGGAUUCGGUUAUUCAUCCCAUUCAUGACCAGACCCUUUAUCUGACUGAGAGGCAUAAGAAGCAACUGAAGGAGGAGUACAAUGUUGAACCUUGGACAUUUGAGCAAUACCUUGGUGAGGCUGUGUUCAUUCCUGCAGGAUGCCCACACCAAGUGAGAAAUAGACAGUCAUGCAUCAAAGUGGCCCUCGACUUUGUAUCCCCCGACAAUGUUCAAGAAUGCAUCCGGUUGACUGAGGAGUUCCGCCUGCUUCCAAAAGACCAUAGGGCUAAGGAAGAUAAAUUGGAGGUGCAUUUUUUUUAGAUCCCUUAUCUUGCGAUUGUAUAGGAAUCUAGCUUCUAAUGGUAAUGCCAUGUGUGACAGUGCUAAUACCACUGAAAUUUAUUUGCUAGGCUGAAAGCUUAAAACAGCUCAAACUUUCAGCCAAUGAAAGUAAUCUCUUAAAUUAGGUUAUGCAACGAUGGGAGUUUAUCUCAAUCUGAGUUUGAUACAUUUUCAUUACUCUAUGAGGCCCAACACUAGGUGGUCGUUUCAAGCCAACUUUUGUUUGCCUACUUGGACAUAGUGCACCCUGAAUAUCGGACAUCUUUUGGAAUAGGGAAAUGCUCUGUGACUAGAUAUACAUCCCAAAAAAGAGCGAGUAGGUUUGAUAAAUGAAUGGUUAUGGUUACACUAAUGAAGCGAUGUAAAGGGAUGUUUCUAACUCUCCAGAGGUUUCUAUCUGUUUAUAGGUAAAGAAGAUGGCAUUAUACGCUGUAAAUGUUGCUGUAGAUGAAGCGAAAAA
Vitis vinifera (wine grape) is the source of this 7663-nucleotide RNA transcript. RefSeq lists it as uncharacterized. NCBI's taxonomy places the organism in Eukaryota, Viridiplantae, Streptophyta, Magnoliopsida, Vitales, Vitaceae. The transcript is spliced from 12 exons. The record is from RefSeq and is a predicted model, not a curated record.